GACGAACGCUGGCGGCGUGCCUAAUACAUGCAAGUCGAACGAGAGCGACCGGUGCUUGCACUGGUCAAUCUAGUGGCGAACGGGUGAGUAACACGUGGGUAACCUGCCCAUCAGAGGGGGAUAACAUCCGGAAACGGAUGCUAAAACCGCAUAGGUCUUCGAGCCGCAUGGCUUGAAGAGGAAAAGAGGCGCAAGCUUCUGCUGAUGGAUGGACCCGCGGUGCAUUAGCUAGUUGGUGAGGUAACGGCUCACCAAGGCCGUGAUGCAUAGCCGACCUGAGAGGGUGAUCGGCCACAUUGGGACUGAGACACGGCCCAAACUCCUACGGGAGGCAGCAGUAGGGAAUCUUCCGCAAUGGACGCAAGUCUGACGGAGCAACGCCGCGUGAGUGAAGAAGGUUUUCGGGUCGUAAAACUCUGUUGUUAGAGAAGAACAAGUGCUAGAGUAACUGUUAGCGCCU
RNAcentral lists this ribosomal RNA (460 nucleotides) under Granulicatella adiacens. Its description in RNAcentral is "bacterial SSU rRNA". It matches the Rfam family "Bacterial small subunit ribosomal RNA", at positions 28 to 477 of the family's 1533-position model. Lineage: Bacteria; Bacillati; Bacillota; Bacilli; Lactobacillales; Carnobacteriaceae. The record is from RNAcentral.